AGAGAGUUAGUUUAAAGAAAACAUUUGAUUUCGGCUCAAAAACUUAUGGUUCAACUCCAUAACUAUCUA
This 69-nucleotide transfer RNA is filed under the name Pseudomugil gertrudae (spotted blue-eye). RNAcentral describes it as "tRNA-Arg". It matches the Rfam family "tRNA". From Rfam's summary of the family: Transfer RNA (tRNA) molecules are approximately 80 nucleotides in length. The record is from RNAcentral. Lineage: Eukaryota; Metazoa; Chordata; Actinopteri; Atheriniformes; Pseudomugilidae.